GUCCCCGUAGCUCAAUGGAUUGAGCAGUCCCGUCCUAAGGGAAAGAUUGUUGGUUCGACUCCAAUCGGGGACG
This 73-nucleotide transfer RNA is filed under the name Candidatus Levyibacteriota bacterium. RNAcentral describes it as "tRNA-Arg". It matches the Rfam family "tRNA". From Rfam's summary of the family: Transfer RNA (tRNA) molecules are approximately 80 nucleotides in length. The record is from RNAcentral. Lineage: Bacteria; Candidatus Levyibacteriota.